This 304-nucleotide ribosomal RNA is filed under the name Klebsiella pneumoniae. RNAcentral's name for it is "bacterial SSU rRNA". It matches the Rfam family "Bacterial small subunit ribosomal RNA", at positions 83 to 380 of the family's 1533-position model. Lineage: Bacteria; Pseudomonadati; Pseudomonadota; Gammaproteobacteria; Enterobacterales; Enterobacteriaceae. The record is from RNAcentral.
GCAAAAGUGCGCAUGCUAUCUGGUUGAGUAACACGUACCUAACCUACCUUUAAGACUGGGAUAACUAUUGGAAACAAUAGCUAAUACCGGAUAUAGUUAUUUAUCGCAUGAUGAGUAAUAGAAAGGAGCUUAACAGCUUCACUUAAAAAUGGGGGUGCUGAACAUUAGUUAGUUGGUAGGGUAAUGGCCUACCAAGACGAUGAUGUUUAGCCGGGCCGAGAGGCUGUACGGCCACACUGGGACUGAGAUACGGCCCAGACUCCUACGGGAGGCAGCAGUAGGGAAUUUUUCACAAUGGACGAAA